RNAcentral lists this long non-coding RNA (1490 nucleotides) under Octopus vulgaris (common octopus). Lineage: Eukaryota; Metazoa; Mollusca; Cephalopoda; Octopoda; Octopodidae. The record is from RNAcentral.
UUUUUUGAACAGCAGCAAAACUCGGGUACAACCCUGAAGGGUUCUAGUUGAAUGAAUAGACCACAGUACUUAUUUUUUAAGCCUGGCACUUAUUCAUCAACUUUUUUGGUCAAUCACUAAGUUAUGGGUCUAUAAACAAACCAACACUGGCUGUCAAGCAGUAGUAGUGAACACACACACAAUGGGCUUCUUUCAGUUUCUGUCAACCAAACCCAGCUGCAAGCCUGGGGCUAGAGAAGACACUUGCCCAAGUAACAUACAGUGAGACUGCAUCCAGAACCACAUGGUAAGGAAUAAAUUUCUUACACAACAAUGCUGGUACCUAUAAUAAUUAUUUCUAGGUAAUUGUUCAGUUUACAUUUGUAAAAUUAAAAUGUGUUGACAAUGUUGAUAACUUUGAUUUUAGUUUCAGUUGUUUCUGCUUUUUGUUAUUUCUCAGUUCUUGUUUAUUUUAUAUCUUUUUUGAGGUGUACUUUUAGCUGCAAGUUUGUUUUAUGAAAGGAAAGAGAAAAACAGUAAGGAAUGAUAGCUAGACAACCACUCAGAAAUACAAAUUUAUGUGUGAGAGAUACAACUAGAUAGUUUUAUAAAUUGAGUAAAUAAUUGUUUUCUCCAAGUAAAGCUAAAAAUCAGUUGUAAAUAACAAAGAUGACAAGGGGUGACAAGAGUGAGUAAAGCAUCAGACAACAUAUUUUGGUGUAUUUAGUUAUGUCCCUUGAUCUUUUUUUAAAAGAGUUAAACUGAACAAUUACCUCAUUUCUAUUCUAGGCACAAGGCCUGAAAUUUUGUGGGAAGAGGCUGGCUGAUUCAUCAACCCUACUGCUUCACUGGAACCGAAUUUAUUGGCCCCAAAAAGAUGAAAGGCAAGGUGACUUCAGCAGCAUUUGAACUCAGAAUGUGAAGACAGAUGAAAUACUGCUGAGUAUUUUGUCCAAUAUGCUAAUAGUUCUGCCAGCUUGAUGCAUGUCGCUAUAUAUGAAUUAUUAGUGUUAUUAUAGCUUGGCACCUAUUGUUUUAUAUAUGUAAACAAACACUGGAAACUGGUUUAUUUCUAAUUCCAUGUAACACAUAUUUCAUUAUAGUAUAGGAAAAUAGAUACUUGUAACUUAACAGUUCAAAAGAAACUGACAAGACAAAUGUCAGGCUUAAAAAAAAAUUAAUACUCGGGUCAAAUCAUUCAAUUAAAUUCAAGGCAGUGCCCCAUCAUUUCCAGUCUAAUGACUGAAACAAGUAAAAGAUAAAAGGAUAUCUAUCUAUAUCUAUAAUUUAAAUAUAGGAUAAAAUCUUUAUAAGAAUUUAUCAAGUAGUUAGCAUGAAAAAUCUCAUAAGGGAAAAAUUUCUUGAUUAUUCCCUAUAAAUAAAUAAAUAGAUAGAUAUAGAUAUAUUUAUUUAUAUUAAGGGCAUUACUAUACAUAAAUGCCUCAUGCUAAGAGGGACUCUUAAAGUUGAAACUACCAUAAAAAACACAUUGUACCGAACACGGUACAAUG